AGUGAACGCUGGCGGUAGGCCUAACACAUGCCAGUCGAACGGCAGCACAGUAAGAGCUUGCUCUUACGGGUGGCGAGUGGCGGACGGGUGAGGAAUACAUCAGAAUCUACUUUUUCGUGGGGGAUAACGUAGGGAAACUUACGCUAAUACCGCAUACGACCUACGGGUGAAAGCAGGGGAUCUUCGGACCUUGCGCGAUUGAAUGAGCCGAUGUCGGAUUAGCUAGUUGGCGGGGUAAAGGCCCACCAAGGCGACGAUCCGUAGCUGGUCUGAGAGGAUGAUCAGCCACAUUGGAACUGAGACACGGUCCAGACUCCUACGGGAGGCAGCAGUGGGGAAUAUUGGACAAUGGGCGCAAGCCUGAUCCAGCCAUACCGCGUGGGUGAAGAAGGCCUUCGGGUUGUAAAGCCCUUUUGUUGGGAAAGAAAAGCAGCAGGUUAAUACCCCGCUGUUCUGACGGUACCCAAAGAAUAAGCACCGGCUAACUUCGUG
RNAcentral lists this ribosomal RNA (492 nucleotides) under uncultured bacterium. Its description in RNAcentral is "partial 16S ribosomal RNA". It matches the Rfam family "Bacterial small subunit ribosomal RNA", at positions 29 to 507 of the family's 1533-position model. The record is from RNAcentral.